Molecule: long non-coding RNA, 1253 nt
Organism: Salvia miltiorrhiza (redroot sage)
Lineage: Eukaryota; Viridiplantae; Streptophyta; Magnoliopsida; Lamiales; Lamiaceae
Exons: 4
Source: RefSeq, a predicted model, not a curated record
UUUAUUUUAUAAAAACAAAAUCAAUAUUCGUCUCUCCCCUAAACCUAAAACCAAUUCAUCUUCCAAUUCUCUCACAUCCAACUCUCUCUCCCCGCCGCAAUUCAAUUCCUCUUCCCCAUUCUCCCACAUCCGACUCUUCUCUCACCGCCUCAAUUCGCCGUACUGGUCACCUCCACCAUCGCCUUCGACUGACUCCCGCACACAACACAGUCCGCCGCCUUCCUUGGGGACGGCGAAAUCGCCGCUCCUCCCUCUCUUUCACGCAACCCGCCCACUCCUCCCUUCCUGCAGUUCCCGGCAAGUAACGGUGAAGACCGCCACCGUCGUCUCAAUCCCCGAUUCUCCCUUGCCCUUCCCCCUAUCUACAGAACCCUACGACCGUAGUGGCUCAAGACCACGGCCAUUGUCGUCCGCCACCGAGCCGCGCUGGCACCCUCUGCAUCGAUGGGUCACACUCCUGCCCUCACUGCCUCGCCCCGACCUGUCUCCUUUGAUAAGUCGGCGCUGCCGCCCCUCAGUCCGCUGCUAUCCCUAGCAGAUACGUCAGCCAUGGAAAUCGUUUCCAGUUUCCAGUGAAUCCAUCUGCCCAAGCUUGCAAUGACUCUGAGCGAGGUGGUACGGUAUUUUGAAAAUAGUUGUUGCUCGCUGCCUAUGACUCAUGACCAGCUAUUGUUGAGAUACGAGUUUCAGGAAGAUCAUUCCUUAUUAAGGAAAGAUGAAUUUGAGUAUGACCAUGAUCCGGUCAAGGUUCAAAUCAAGUUAUUUCUCGAGUUUUGGUUGGGCAAUAGAGAAGCCAGUUACCCUCCUAUGGAGGAGCUCUGGAAAUGCAAGUUCUGCAAGUUUGCCUCUGUAUGUCCAAUUAACUCGGACCCAGAUGAUUCUCCAAGCAAAACGAAAAGCGAAGGCAUUCCUUCGCUUGAUCUGACUCCUAAGUAAGCCAUUCUUCAUACUCAGCUUCUCAAAGAAAAUGAGCAGUUGGAUUUAUUGAAUCUGCUUGAUUCUUGCUGGGGGUUGUUGCUGUUAAUCUCUCCCAUUUGGAGGAUUUACUACGUGGUUUAAUUUGUUGAUCAGUUUAAUAUUGUUGUAUAGUUCAUUAUUGUUGUUGAUUGUUAUAACAUAGGAUCAAAUGUCAAAUAUGUAAUUGUGAAAUUGUAUUGCAUUUGCUGCUGCAUUGUAAAGUUCAGCCCAGAACUUAUUUAUGUAUUAUUUGAAGUGUCCGAUAAUUGAAAUGGAAAUUUGCAUAUUCUCUCUUU